RNAcentral lists this long non-coding RNA (28003 nucleotides) under Nicotiana benthamiana. RNAcentral's name for it is "long non-coding RNA (NBEN_LNC031158)". Lineage: Eukaryota; Viridiplantae; Streptophyta; Magnoliopsida; Solanales; Solanaceae. The record is from RNAcentral.
UCAUCACUGUGUAGCUGGCUGUUUGGACACAUUCCAUAAUCCAUUUUGUGAAUCUGACUGGAAAUCCAUUGCCUCCAUUACCUGUUGUAAGAAAAUCCAUUCGACAGAAUCAUAAGCCUUCUGCAGGUCGAUUUUGAUCAUGCAUCUAGGAGUUAUAUGAGAUCUGAAGUAAUUUUUGAUUAAUUCAUGGGCCAAUAUAACAUUGUCUGCAAUUUUCCUACCUGGGAUGAAUCCUGCUUGAGCAUCACAGAUGAUGCUAGCCAUGAUCAUCUGCAUUCUGUUGGCUAGUAUCUUGGAAAUCAGUUUAUAUAAUAUUGAGGAGCAAGCUAUUGGUCUGAACUCUCUGACUGUUGUUGUAUUAGGAACUUUAGGUAUCAGGGUAAGGAAGCACAGUUAAUUGGUAUGUACAUCCUGUUGGUCUGGAAAAAUUUCUUGACUGCACCAGUUAUCUAUUUGCCAGUGAUGCUCUAAGUCUGCUUGAAGAACAAUGCAUUAUACCCAUCAAUUCCCGGGGCUUUGUCAUCAUCAAUUACCUUCAGACUAUCCUGAAUCUCAGAAUCAGUGAUCUCAGCAACUAAGUCUUUCUUCUGUUGAUAUGUUAGCAUAGGACCAUUGGUCAUAUACAGUUGAUUAAUAGCUGGAAGAGAUGCAGCUGCUGUCCCCAAUAAGGACUUAUAAAAGUCAGUGACCUCCUUUUUAAUUGCAUCAGGAUUGGUAAUUAUUGACCCCCCUGCUGUAACCAGUUCAGUAAUACUCUUGUGUUGAUUCCUUUCCUUCAAGACAGCANNNNNNNNNNNNNNNNNNNNNNNNNNNNNNNNNNNNNNNNNNNNNNNNNNNNNNNNNNNNNNNNNNNNNNNNNNNNNNNNNNNNNNNNNNNNNNNNNNNNNNNNNNNNNNNNNNNNNNNNNNNNNNNNNNNNNNNNNNNNNNNNNNNNNNNNNNNNNNNNNNNNNNNNNNNNNNNNNNNNNNNNNNNNNNNNNNNNNNNNNNNNNNNNNNNNNNNNNNNNNNNNNNNNNNNNNNNNNNNNNNNNNNNNNNNNNNNNNNNNNNNNNNNNNNNNNNNNNNNNNNNNNNNNNNNNNNNNNNNNNNNNNNNNNNNNNNNNNNNNNNNNNNNNNNNNNNNNNNNNNNNNNNNNNNNNNNNNNNNNNNNNNNNNNNNNNNNNNNNNUAUAUAUAUAUAUAUGAAUCAUAUUGUAACUUUCCAACAUUUUUAUUAACAUUUUUUUGUUUUUGAUUUUUCUUUAUAUAAUAUCUUGUAACCUUCUAAAUUAUCUUCUUCGUUCAUACCAAAGCAAAUUAUCUGCAUCCUUCUUUAGAUUAUAGAUUUUCUUCCAACAAAUAUCAUUUAUAAUUUCUUCUAUUAUAGGUCAAUAGUUCCCGAAUCUUUAAAGCAGUUAUUAAAUCUUAUUUGGGAAUAUGAUCAUCUAAAAAUAGGUAAUAAAUUUACAAUUAAAUUUAAUAAUCUAUAUAUUUAUCAUCAAAAGGAGAAGAAAAUGAAUCCAGAUUAAGUCAAGUGGCAACGUCACAAUAGGCCACUUGACAUUUUGGGACAAUUUUAGUAUGGUUAUGUAAUAAUUAAUUUUUUAUUUAAAUUUUUUUAAUAAAUAAAUUAUACAUUAUGUAUUGUUAAUAAUUAGUUAUUCUUUUUGAAUUAUAAUUUAAGCAUACUUAAACUAUUUUUUAUGUUUUUUUAUAAAAUUGAAAUUAUUUCUAUUUUACGUUCAAUGCCAUCUUUAAGUUUGACACUCAGAAUCAUCUUGUUACAACUACCAUCGCUAUACAUAAUUUCAUCCGACGAUAUUUUUUUACUUAUACAGAAUUCAACUAUUAUGCUAACAAGAAUAUUACUGCAGAGAUUGAUGAAGGAGAUGAGCAUUCUAAUAUUCCUUUAGAAAUGUUAGGCAAGUCUUUUACUAAUAUGGAUGUGUUGUGUGAUAGAAAUACAUAUAAAAUUAUUGAAAAAUAUUAUCAUAUGUGAGUGACUUUACUUAUUAUUUUAUUAUGGAUUAUCAAUAUAUAUAUAUCAAUUCAUGGAUAGAAUUCUAAUUUAUAAUGAAUGUUGUUAUUUUAAUUAUUCAUAUCAUCAUAUAACAAUAAAUAAUUAUACUAGAUAAUAUCAUAUGCUUUGGUAUAAUUAUAAUAUAUAUGUAAAAUUGUCUUAAAUAUUUAAUAAUUCAUAUCAUCAUAUAAGGAGAUGAGCAUUCUAAUAUUCCUUUAGAAAUGUGAGGCAAGUCUUCUACUCAAAAAUACUUUUUAGAAAGAUUGGUCAAACACAAUUUAUUUAUCAAAUAUUACAAAAAGUACUUUUUAAAUGAAUGGGCCAAACACAAACAGUUCUUUUUCAAAAGUACUUCAAAAAAAAGUAUUAUAAUUGUGACGACCCAAAGGGUCAUCACCGUAAUUCUACCUUUGUCCGUGCUUCCAAGUCCUUGAAAACCUCUUAUUUGGUCGCAUUGAUUUUCGUGCACAGUCCGGAUGUGAAGCCGGAAUGUUUUUAUGUGGAAAUAUAUGAACUUUGUGUUAAAAAUUAUGAAUUUCCAUAAUAAUAUUGAUAUAGUUGACUUGGACCUGUGAUGUGACGGUCCCGGAAGGUCCAUUGGAAAAUAUGGGACUCGGGCGUAUUCCCGUAAUCGAAAUCCGAGGUCCCAGGCCCGAGUACAAAUUUUUUGAAAGAAAUUGUUUAUCUGAAAAUGAUAUGAGAAAUCGAAAUGAAAAUGAGUUAGAAAGUAAUGGUAUCAUACUCGUAUUUAGUUCGAAUGCGCGGUACAGAUCUUAAAUGAGCGUUAAGAACUUCCUGUAAAAUUUGGUCGAAACCAGAUGUCGUUUGACGUGUUUCGGACUAAAAAUGAAAAAAUAGGAAGUUAUGAAAUUUGAAAUGUAAUUAUGAGUUUGGGGGUUGAUUUUCAUAUUAUUUUGGCGAUUUGGUCACCCUGAGCAAGGUAGUAGGAUGAUAUUGAGUUAGUGUGUGUGUUUGGUUGGGAUCCGCGAGGGCUCGGGAGUAAUUUCAGGGGUUGUUCGGUGUGUUUUGGACUUGGAAUGAAUCAGAAAAUUCUGCAAUUUUUACACAGGUCUUUUCCUCUAUACGAUCGCAUAGGCUUGUCAGCGAUCGCAUAGAGUCCCUUUUCAGCCCUCCCACUUUUUUCAAUGCGAUCGCAGAGCUUAGUCAGCCUUCUCAAUGCGAUCGCAACACCCUAUACGCGGUCGCAUAGCCUUGGACCUCACCCAGCAUUCCAGGCUUCCCUUUUCUCUACGUGAUCACAUGACAUCUAAUGCGAUUGCAGAAGACAACUUCCCACUCUCUAUGCGAUCGCAUAGGCCAAAUAUGCUUCAGUGAUUUUUAAGUUAAAACAUAACAGUAUGCUCGGGAUUUUUUUGCAUUUUUCACACGAGCCCUUCACUCAAACCCUCCAUAGACGAAUUUCAAGAGCUAUCUUCUCCAUAACUCUUUGGGUUAGUAUUCUUAACAUCUUUUCCUCACUAUUUCAUUAUCUAAUCACUAGAAUCCUAGCCUAAAAACAUGAAAUCAAGGUAGAAAUUUUAGGUUUUUUAGAAUUUUUGGCGAUUCAACAUCAAUUUGGAGCCUAAUCUUAAUAUAAAUUAUAUAUUUGAAUUCUUGGGGUUAUGGGUGAAUGGGUUUUGGUAUGAGCCUCCAGUUUGGACCAUGUUGUCCCGGUGUCGGAUUUUGAUAUUUUUCGAAGAAUGAUAGGAAAUUCCUUUCUAGGCUAUGGAAUCGUAUUUUUAAGCUAUUAUUGAUAAUAUUUAACUAAUUAUGGCUAGAUAUUGUUGAUUUGGAGUCGGAUUCUAGAGGAAAAGCGGUGUUAGAGGAUUCAUUGGUAUUUUCAGACCGAGGUAAGUGUUUGAUCUAACUUUGGCUUGACGGAAUAUGAUUAGGAUGUUAUUUGAUACGUGCUAUGUGGAGUCGGUGUAUAGGCAUGGUGACGGUUAUCUAUGCACCCGAGUGUAGCAUGACUGUGGAUCUUAAAUUGCAUUAUUUUGAAUGAUAUGAUAUAAAUUCGUGUUAGAAUUGAUUUAGUUCACAUGAUAUGAACGGUGAGGAUAAAUAAUGAUUUCGUAUAAUUUUUUAGCACUGGCUCGACUUAGCACAAGCUGGUAGCUAACGUGUUUAGAAGUGGAAGUUCUGCGAUCAUUUCCCUUGUCGGGACUUAAAUACCUUAGCAGGAUAUUUGGGAUGUUUGUUGCAUUCAAUUGUUGGACACUUGGCAAUUGAUGCUACUCCCCUCGCACUUGGGUUGCGAAUGAUGUGGGUGAGUUUUGUAGGUAAAAAUCAAGGAUCAGAUUUCACGCUGCAACGGUACUAAAUGUCGAGGAUCGGGUUGGACGCCACAACGGUAUCAAAUGUUAAGGAUCGGGUUGCGUGCCGCAAUGGACAUGGAUUUAGUAUAUUGUUCUGUGUGUUGAGCUUUCAGGCAUUCCAUUAUCACUUGUUAACUGCUCAGUUCUUACUCUUAUUAGUUGAUUUCUGCAUUUGAACUGUUUUACCCCACAGCAUGCUCCCCUCGCCUUUUAACUGUUUAGAAUAGUGUAUUCUCCUGUUAUUGCAUAUAUCUGUACCGGUUAUUUGUGGUAAGUCCUGUCUAGCCUCGUCACUACCUCUCCAGGGUUAGGCCAGGAACUUACCAGCACAUGGGUUCGGUUGUGCUGAUGCUACACUUCUGUGUCUUUUGUGCACAGGUCAGGAGACAGCUUACAGACUACCGGAGCAGUUCUAGACCGGGAGCCGACCUUGAGUCCAGAGACUUUUAGGUAGCUUAGUUGACAUCCGCGAGCUCAGAGUCUGAUCUAUGUUAUUUUAGUUUGCUUAUUUGUAUCGAGACAGACUCUUAUGUAUUUUCUUUUAGACUGAUGUUUUUAGUAAUCCUUUAAUAGUCCAUGAGUGGUGACACCCGAUACUGGGUAGAAACAUGUUAUGAACUUUCGCACUUUGCUAUUAUUUUUGUUAAAAGUCUUUCGCAUAUUUUUAAUUAUUUAUUUCAGUUUAUUAUACCGUUUAAGAUUAAAGCUCUUGAAAUGUUUAAAAAGUUUAGCAUGCCUAGCUCCGAUAGUAGGUGCCAUCACGACCACGGUGGUGGGAAAUUUGGGUCGUGACAAUAAUUUUUAAAAUAAACAAAUUUUGGCAACUUGGCCAAAUGGGCUCUAAGUUGAGACGGAAAUGAUAACAACACUUAUUCAUUGAAAGAGAAUUUAAUUGCUAAACUAUACUACUUUUGAAAGAUUUUCAGUGGUAGUGCAGAGAAAUAGUGGAAUAUCUAUUUUUAUGAAAAUCUUGCUCAGCUCCUAUAUUUAAAGAAAACUAUCCGAAGUACCAUGUCCAAUAAAAGUGUUUAGCUCAAAGUUCUCAUAUACUUUAUAAGAGUAAAUAAAAUAAAAUAAAUGGAGGGCCACUCGUAGAAGAUCGUAAUAAAUCAUAAGACCAAACGAAAAAUAUAAAAGAAAAAUGUUACAAGUGAAGGAGGGAGGGUGGAGAUCUUUUAUUGAUUAAGAUAGACAUGGUCUGCCUCUUCACGAAGAGGUUCAGAACCUUACAGUGAUUUUUUCCCCCUUUUUUUAGAAGUAGAGGUGGAGAUGAAGAAGCAGCCCCCACUCACCCCCCUUUUAGGGUUCUUUAUCUUAAUAUUUAUAGCUGUGAAUAUUGCCAGCUGGUGAUAGACGGUCGUGGCUGCAUCGAAGGGAUGUCCGUGAAUAAUGAAUAGGUCGUGGUCUCGUUAAUUAGGUCAAGUAACCUCGGAAUACAUUUGUCAGCGAAUGAUUAUACCUAUUAUCUGCCCGAACGAGCUUGGGAGCCAAUUAGACAUGCUAAUUAUUAUGAAUCUAAUUUUUACCGAUACAGAUAGUCCCUCCGCUUAUCGAGGUCGUGCCUCGGUCGAGCUCAAUAAGCUGACUAUGCCGGCUGUAUCGUGAAAAGCUCGAGUGUGGGGGCCGACUAUUUCCUUGGCCUUGGUCGUGCUUGAAGAAGACCGGAGCUAUUUAAGCUAUGGACAUCACUUGGUAGAAAUUGACGGUUGUAACCACUCUGCAGGGACAAUCCUAGACUACAAUGGAGCUGAUGUUAGAUGAAUUCACAUUCGACGACCGUAGUCGCAGUCCUUUAGUUGGUUUUGUACGAGCGAUUGGCCAUGGACGUCCAUAUACCUAAAAUGGUCGUGGCUGUUUAUUUGCAUGUAUUCUUCUUUUGGUAGGAGACCGUACUCACGUUAUUAUUAAGAGGCAGCGAUAACCGUUCGUUGCUUUGAAAGGGUCGUAGUCGUCCUUACUUGGGGGAUGGCAGUAGCCGUUUUAUAUUGAGGAGAAGGCCAUAGCCGUUCUCGCUUAAGAAAUAGUCAUGGCCGUUGUUCAGGGAUGGGUGCAAUCAACAUUAUUUUCGGAGACGGCCGUAGCGAGUAUUAUUUUGAAGAUGGCCAUAGCCUCUAUUGAUUUAGAGACUGUCGUAGCCAAUUACAUAUGUUUCGGGAGGAUACGAUCAUGCUUGCUGCGUAUAAGGAAGGUGCCAAACGCUUAGUGACGCAUGGGGCGUGCUUUUGGUGUCUUAGGACUAUUGCAACCAUUUCAAGGGUGACGUGCCGACUGACGGUUGAAUGACCGUUCCAUGGUAUCUGUCAUAAUGAUACCCAUUACUGUAGACCCGAACCAUUUUGUGGUUGGUCAGGCAGUUAAGGAUGGACUUAGAGAUUCGUGGAAGCCAUUUAUGCUUUGUCUAUAAAUAAGGGGUUGUAUCAUUCAGUUCUUACUUUUCCGAUAUUUGCUUAAGUGAAAUUCUGAGAGAGACAACUCUUCUUGUUCUCAGAUUACUUCAUCUUUUGCUCCUUGUUACUUUAUUUUUCGUCGUUUAUUGUCAUAUCUUCAUCACCUUUUACUUUUUCGGUGAACGUUGCUUACUUCCUUUUACUAUAUUGACAAUGGCGAAAAGCUCUCGUUCUAAUAUUGCUCAGGUGGCGGUUACAGCGGCUAAGGGUCUAUCUACGGUGGUGAGAACCACCAAUUCGAUGGACAUUGACAGGAUCCCGUCGGUAACCCACAUUCUUUCUCAGCCCGCUGAUUUCUCCGACUAUGAAGGAGAAGACCAAGUGGACGAAGCCUCAUUGAUGGGGGAGGUACGCAUCGUCCAAUUGAGGGAUCAGUGUGACAUUCCUCGUUUCGCUGACAUCGUCCUCGCUUGAAGCAGGGAGAGGGUACAUGUCGACCACCGAGGGUAUUGCAUUUUCUACGCUUACCCUUUCAAUCUAGGAUUUAAAUUUCCUUUCCUAAUGCUAGUGGUAGAUUUCUGCCAUCACUAUAGGGUAUGCCCUGGUCAGCUCUUCCCUUCCUGCUACAAGUUGUUGGCGAUGCUGAUAAAAUAUGCGGAGUUGGCACAGAGGGAGAUUACUCUUUGUCACGUACUAACUCUCUAUGCCCCCUAAAGGAUACGAGGUACCAUGAUUCGGCUGGUCUCUCGUGGGGCCGGCGGCUUAACUGCGAAACUCGAUGACAAGGUUGAUGCCCAUCCAUAUGAGCACUUUUUCUACACCAGGACCGAGCAUCUGGUGGCUUGUGCUUCCGACUUUCCAAUUGCAUGGAACCAUGCACGUAAGUUUCUUUUAUGUAGGUAUCAAUUUCUUUUGGUUAUAUGUCUUGUUUCGCAUUCGUACGUACUGACCUUCCUAUUGUGCCGUAGCUGAAGGUGAACCGCCAGAACCAUUUUUCGGCAUCUGCGAGUGGGUCGAGGCCAUGCUUCCUGUUACAGUAGGAAUUCACACGUAGGUAUCUUUCUAGGAGGUCCAUGGCCGUAAGUCGGCUGCUAGUAAGAACCUGACUUGUUGUGUUGCUCUUAUUUCAUAGUACUUAGUUUCUUUCCCUUGACCUUUCUUCCUUUGUCGGUUAGGGCGACCACGUCGCAUGAGGGCUCCUCAUAUUACUUUCCGCAGGCUGGGGGCGACUGCCCAAUUGGUUGCAAUGCCGUCGCCUCGCCCCGUUCUGAGGGCGACUUCGGUUGAAUCCGUAGCGGCUCACUCUCCAGCACGGUCUGUGAACCAAGUUGAAGAACCUUCAGGGGUCUUGCGUUCCAGGGGGAGUUGCAACCGAAUGAGGAUGAGGAAGAAGAUGGGAGGUUUCUGGUUUGGUGUAGGGUGACGUUCACCGCGGUCCUUCCGGUGGUGAUUAGCUUGGAUUCUCCGCCAUCGGAAGCAGAGGGGAAUGCAGCAGAUUGUGCCUCGGUUGGACCGUACUCACGUUAUUAUUAAGAGGCAGCGAUAACCGUUCGUUGCUUUGAAAGGGUCGUAGUCGUCCUUACUUGGGGGAUGGCAGUAGCCGUUUUAUAUUGAGGAGAAGGCCAUAGCCGUUCUCGCUUAAGAAAUAGUCAUGGCCGUUGUUCAGGGAUGGGUGCAAUCAACAUUAUUUUCGGAGACGGCCGUAGCGAGUAUUAUUUUGAAGAUGGCCAUAGCCUCUAUUGAUUUAGAGACUGUCGUAGCCAAUUACAUAUGUUUCGGGAGGAUACGAUCAUGCUUGCUGCGUAUAAGGAAGGUGCCAAACGCUUAGUGACGCAUGGGGCGUGCCAAGGUGACAGUCACUUCAGCGAUUCAUAUUUCAGCUCCAAUUGAUGAGAGUGAAGGUAGUUCCUCAGCAACUAUUUUGGUGGAAGAGAUAGGUGUCAAUGUUUUGGCGAGUGUGGGUGCUUCAACCUUCCGAGCAGCGGAAUCCUCGACUUCCAGGGCGUCGGAAGGAAGGGGCACCUUAGGAGAAGGGGAUGAUUCUGAGUCUGACUUGGACCCUAAGGACGUCCGCCUGUUCCAAGAGGGAUAUACCCGCCCAGCAGUAUAGGUCAAAGGGGAUUAUCUCUAUGUGGAGAUUCCCAAUGAGUAGAACCUGCUGCUCGAGGAGGAGAAUUUGGUGACAUUAUUUGAGGUUAUGUGCUCUGAAGUGGAGAGCACGUCCUUGAUCGGCAUCUCAGAUGUUGGGUUGCUGGGCAAGGUGGCCGCCCUGGGUAUAAAGGUACGUGUGAAGACUUGGUUUGCUUCUUUCCUUAGUGUAUAUUCUCGUAUUAAUUGAUGUUAAGUUUGUUGUAGUCAUUCUUAUUGGAGGUGGAGAGCAUCCGCUAGGCCAACGUCUGCUCGUCAGUCUUUGUACGGUUUUUGGAGAAGUACCGCCGCUAUCGGAACCAGUGCCGUGAUUUGCGUUAACGCUUAAGGAACGACCAGCGGAAUAGGGAGCUGGUAGAAGAGGUGGCGAGGAGGGAACUUCAUAUGCAGCAGACGCUUAGCAGUGUAAAUUCUCUCGAGGGGCAGCUCCGUCGAAAAAAUGAGGAGAUGGACGCUGAAAGGAGAGUGGCCACUGAGAGAGACCGUCAAAUUCAGGCUACGACAACAGAGGCCGCUGAGGAUUUGACUAGGCAGGUGGCUGCCUUAGAGACGGAGGCUGCGGCUUUGAGGAAGCUGGCAGAGGAUGCGCUGGUGAGGGUCGAAGCACUACAGGUGACUAGCCGCGCCCAAGAAAGAGAACAUGAGAACAUGGAUUUGAGUGGGUUGCGGAUACUUUCUGAGAGAGGAUGUUGGAGGGGCGCAUUUCUAUAUAUGAGCAGGACGCCCGUGGUGCGAUGGACUGGAUUGCGGCCUUGGAGGCCGAGAACCAACGCCUGAGGGACUAGGCCGCUUCUUUCGUUCCUGCUCGGGAACUUUGGACUUACGCCGAGGCCCAGCUCUACGUGUAUAGGAGGUUCUGAGAAGCCGGCGUUGUGCCUGAGGCCACCUAUGAGGCAGCCAGCCAAAAGGCUCAUGAUGCUCGCCUUGACUGCGGUUUCGACCCGUCUACACCCGGGGCUGAUGAUGGCACCGAGGGCUUUGACAAUGUUGAAGGCGGUGUUGGUGGCGGGGAGUGAACAAAGAAAAAGUUUGUAAUACUCGUUUAGUUUUCGUUCUCUUUUCUUUUUUGUUGCCAUUUGGCUAUCUUUUUUAUUGCUGCCGGCCUUAGGCCAAUAUAGCUGGGGGUAACCCCUUGUAGAUAUUGUAAAUGUAGGCGACUUUCUUCCUUUCUGUUUGUUCUGUAUCAAUUUCGUACGUUUAUUUUUUUGUUCGUUCGAGGGGGCCUUGCCUUAGAGUUUUUCUAGUGAGCAUACUAAUGGUCUUGUCCGUUAGGUGAUUUCCACCAUUGUCAAAUUGGUUCCUUUCCUUAAGAAGAAAUUUGUUUAGAUGGCUUUGGCCAUAGGUGCACGCUUUUGUCCAUCGCCUUCCUCCACUUGGUGGGAGUGGGUUGAGCCAUGUUUGGGAAGUGUCAGCACACAGCCUUAGUCCUAGUUCGGGCUUAGUCGGACUACUGGCCUGUGGUAAUGAAAUGCACGGAUUUGUAGUUCGACUUGGGCUGAACUUUACGUGGGCCAAAACUUUAGUUUGAGAUAGUCGUAGUUACUUGAAUGGGGGGCUCUUGGCCCUAGCUGUGGUUCGACUGUGGUUGAACAUUUGGGAGCGUUCGGCCUCGUCUGAUCACGGCCCGGCUCAUAGCUGCGGAGAUAUAUACUCUUGGCCCUUAUUCGACCGUGGUUGAGUUUGUAACUCUUGCGACGGAUGCGUGUAGCCUAAGUCCUAGUGUUAUUAGUAGUUGAUCUUUUGGGCGAGGGCACGUAGCCUGAGUUGUCGUUCAACCAUAGUUGAACCUUUUGCAUUUCUUAAUUGCGAAGGCACUUGUCCUAAGUCCCAGUUCAACUCGUAGUUGAACAUUUUGGCGAGGGCACGUAGCCUGAGUUGUCGUUCAACCAUAGUUGAAGCUUUUGCAUUUCUUAAUGGCGAAGGCAUUUUGCCUGAGUCCCAGUUCAACUUGUAGUUGAACUUUUGGGCGAGGGCACGUAGCCUGAGUUGUCGUUCAACCGUAGUUGAACCCUUUUUUAGUUAUUCAUGGCGAAGUCACUUGGCCUGAGUCCCAGUUCAACUAGUAGUUGAACUUUUGGGAGAGGGCACGUAGCCUGAGUUGUCAUUCAACCGUAGUUGAACCUUUUGCAUUUCUUAAUGGCGAAGGCACAUGGCCUAAGUCCCAGUUAAACUUGAACUUUUGGGCGAGGGCACGUAGCCUGAGUUUUCAUUUAAUUGUAGUUGAACUUUUUGUAUUUCUUAUUGGCGAAGGCACUUGGCUUGAGUCCCAGUUCAACUCAUAGUUGAACUUUUGGGUGGGGACACGUAGCCUGAGUUGUCGUUCAACCGUAGUUGAACCUUUUGUAUUUCUUAUUGGCGAGGCACUUGGCUUGAGUCCCAGUUCAACUUGUAGUUGAACUUUUAGCGAGGUCACAUAGUCCGAGUUGUCGUUGAACCGUAGUUGAACCUUUUGUAUUUCUUCAUGGCGAAGGCACUUGGCCUGAGUCCCAAUUCAACUCGUAGUUGAACUUUUGUGCGAGGGCACGUAGCCUGAGUUGUAGUUCAACCGUAGUUGAACCUUUUGCAUUUCUUAAUGGCGAAGUCACUUGGCCUGAGUCCCAGUUCAACUCGUAGUUGAACUUUUGGGCGAGGGCACAUAGCCUGAGUUUUCUUUUAACCGUAGUUGAACGUUUUGUAUUUCUUCAUGGCGAAGACACUUGGCCUGAGUCCCAGUUCAACUCGUAGUUGAACUUUUGUACUCUCGCAUAGCCCGCUUCGUGUUGGGCGUUGGGACUUGACUGUUAUUUAGGAUUUUGCAUGACUCGUGCUUGUAGUCUUCUUUUAUGGUUCGCAUAGGUUACCCCGUUACAGAUCUCGGUUCGAGAUGAUUUUGUGCUUUAUUCCUUUUUGGCGGGAUUCGGAGUAAAAUGGGGUUGAGGUACCUUAUGCGCAUUUUCCCAUACGAAUGGGGGAUCUACUACUUCUUCUUCUUCCCCUUGCUCGAAGAUGCAUAAUGUGGAAGCCAAUUAAUGUCGAGGCUUUUGAAUCCCUUUUAUCCAGCGUGCCGCUCAUGCUUGUUCGAGCUGGGUUGUUUUCUUUCCUUUUUGGUCCAAAGAUAAACUGUGCGAUUCUGCUAUGAAAUCCCCCAGACGAAGCCAAAUUGUUUAGCUCAAAGUUCUCAUUACUUUGUAAGCAUAAAUCAAUUAAAAUAAAUGGAGGGCCAAUCAUAGCAGAUCGUAAUAAAUCAUAAGACCAAAUGAAUAAAACAUAAGAGACAAUAGUUAUUGGUUUGGGGGGCUGGAGAUCUUUUAUUAAUGAUAUCGGUUUGGUCUACCUCUCCAUGGAGAGGUUCAGAGCCUUACAAUGAUGUAGAUUCUCUUCUCUUAGAAAUAGAUGUGGAGAAGAAGAAGAAGAAGAAGAAGCAGCCCCCUUUGGAGUUCUUUCUCUUAGUAUUUAUAGCUGUGAACCUUUCCAGCUGGUGAGGGACGGCCGUAACCGCAUCGAAGGGACGUCCGUGAGCAGUGAGAGGGCCGUGGUAUCGUUAAUUAGGUUGAGUAAACUCGGAGUGCCUUAUUCAGUGAAUGAUUAUACCUUUUAUUAGCCCGAACAAGCUUAAAAGAUAGUUAGACACGCUAAUUACCACAGAUCUAAUUCUGUACCAUACAGAUUGUUCCUCCGCUUAUUGAGGUCGGGAUUCAACCGAGCUCGAUGAGCGGACUUUGCUGAUAGGUGUAGCCGUCUAUGCUUUGGAGAUGGCCGUAGCCACUUUUGACUUGAAGAUGGCCGUAGCCGUUUUUGGAGAUGGCCAUAGUCAAUUAUACUUUGGAGACGCCCGUAGCCAAUUAUACUUUGGAGAGUAUUUAUAGUUGUGAAUCUUGUGAGCCGGCGAUAGACGGUCGUGGCUGCAUCGAGGGACGUCCGUGAAAAAUGAAUAGGCCGUGGUCUCGUUAAUUAGGUCGAGUAACCUCGAAAUACAUUUGUCAGUGAAUGAUUAUACCUAUUAUCAGGCUGAACGAGCUUGGGAGCCAAUUAGGCAUACUAAUUAUUGCGAAUCUAAUUUUGGCCCAUACAAAGAGUUUCUUUGGUUUUGGUACAGCAGUUGUAAUCAAAGGUAACCGUAAAUUACAAUGACCAAUACAAGACUAUAUCAUAUUAACUAAUAAAAGGAAAUUAUAUUAUAAUUUAAGCAGGAUAAUUAGAGAUAGGAACUGCACGUGAUUUUUCACAACAAGACAACAUAGACAAGAAAUGAUCCUUAUCUACUAAACCUGAGGUUACAAGCGCCACAGAUCUUCAAAUGUUUUAAAGACCAAGCUGGGGAGUCAAAUAAUUAAGAUUUAGGAAUUUUUCUCAAAUGACACGAAAAUAGAACCUACUUUUUCCAAAUUCCAUGUAAAACUUUUUGAACAUCCAUAACGAGACGGGUUUGCCUGCUCCUUCACUCGUAUAAUAAGUUAGCCUAUCACUCGUAUAUAGUCGCAUCAAUUUGCGUGUCAGUCAAGGCGUUUAGCCGAAAGUUCAAAUAUGAAAUUUUGUGAAUAUUUGCUAUGUUUUGAUAUUAAAAUGAAUAAAUUUGACUUCGGUCAAUAUUUUAGGUAAACGGAUCCGACCCUUAAUUUGACAGUUCUGGAAGGACCGUAAAAAAUAUGGGACUUGGACAUGCCCGGAAUCGAAUUCCGAGGUCCCAGGCCCGGAAAAUAAAUUUUUAAGCAAAAUUAUUUUCUAAAAAUAUUUAUGGAAAAUGAAAAUGAAAUUUGAUUAAUAAGUGAUGGUAUCGGGCUCAUAUUUUUGUUCCAGCACCCGGUACAGGUCUUAUAUAUAGUUUAAGCAUUUUCUGUAAAGCUUGAUUGAAAAUAGACGUCGUUUGACGUGUUUAGAACUUAAAGUUCUAAAUUUUAAAGUUUAUGAAAUUUGAAAGAAAUUAUGAAUUUUAAGGCUUAAUUCAUUAUUUUUUAUGUUAUUUUGGAAAUUGGAUCGCAUGGUUAAGUUCAUAUGAUGUUAUUGAGUUAGUAUGCAUGUUUGGUUUGGAGCCUUGAGAACUUGGAUUAGUUUCGGAUAAGUGUCGGGGUGUUUUUGACUUAGGAAAUGCAGUAGAAAUAGUUGUUGUAUGUUGUCCAGUCAUUCCUUCUAUGCGAUCGCAUAGGUCAGGCCGCAAUCGCAUAGAGCAAAUUUCAUAGGUUUAGAAAUCCUUAUAUGCGAUCGCAUUCCACCCUUCGCGAUUGCAUUGAAUAAAGGCUCAGCAAAAUUUUUCCUUCUAUGCGAUCGCAUGUAUCCUUCCGUGAUCGCAAUGCCCAAUCCCACACUGCGCGAUCGCAUACUUGCUACCGUGAUAGCAGUGCACCCCGUACCUUACCCUAUGCAAGUGCAAUCCCUUCUUCGUGAUCGCAUAGAGUAAAUUCCACCCAGUUCUUUACAGUCCCAAAAACAUAACACUUAUAGGAUUUUCACAACAUUUUACAAACCCUCUAUUCUUUAAAGCUCUUGGACGAUCCUUGGAGCAUUUCUUCACAAAAGAUUCUUGGGUAAGUGUUGCUUAACUCACUUCUUUGUUUUCCAUUAAUAUCUUUGAAUUCCUAGGCCAAAAACAUGUGAAAAUAGGUAGAAAUUAGAGAAAUGGGCAGGGUAGAGCUUUUUGAAUUUCCUUGAAUUAGACCUCAUUUUGGGGUCGAAUUUGAAAGAAAAUUACAUAUUCGGGCUCGUGAGUGAAUGGGUGACCGAAAUUUGGUUCAAAUCUCGUAUUUGACCAAGCGGACCCGAGAUCAAUUUUUGGAAGAAAGUUUAGAAAAUUAUAUUUAGGCAUUUGAAUUUGAUUUUUGAGCAUUUAUUGAUGAUAUUAAAUCAAUUGUGUAUAGAUACGAUUGAAUUGGAGCAAAAUUUGAAUGGAAAAGCGGUGCUUAAGGGUUGAGUUGGCCGUAGAACUACGAGGUAAGUGUUUGGUCUAACCUUAGCUUGAUGGAAUAGGAAUUGAGUCUUAUUUUCUACUUGCUAAUUGUCGAGUACGACGUAUAGGCAUAGUGACGAGUAUCUAUACCUUGGGUCUUGCAUGAUCGUGAGUCCUUAUAUUGCGAAUAUUCGGAUUUUAUUAUAUCUUCCAUGUUUAAAUGAUUAUUUCCAUACGUUGUGAAUAGCAUGUGGAAAAAAUUGUGAUAUUUAAUAGUUGAGGAGCGUUGACUCAAGUUAUAAGAUGAAUUGAGAAAGUAUAUGAAAUGAUUAAACCCUUUGGAGCAUUGGCUCAACUGGUAAAAUGAAUUAGAAGUAAGAAAUGAAAGAAAGAGAAAGAAUUAUUGAAUAAUUCCCUUGCCGAGAUAUUUUGUUAAAUUGUUGGUAUCUCCCUUACCGGAAAUUUUAUUGCUUAAUCGUUGUGUCCUUAUUGGGAUCUCCUACUAUUAUUUUGUUUACUUCUGUGCCUCUAUUUGUGAUUGUUUGGGCGAGGAAGAGCGAUAACGCACGAUGGAUGAUGCCAUGCAUGUUAUAAUAUUUGACGAUCGGGUUGCACGUCGCAAUAGUGCUAAAUGAUAUGGAUCAGGUUGAACGCCGCAACAAUGCUAAAUGAUAUUUGAGGAUCGGGUUGCACGCCACAACAAUGCUAAAUGAUAUUUGAGGAUUGGGUCGCACACCGUAACAGUGCUAAAUAAUAUUUGAGUAUUGGGUUGCACGCCGCAUCAAUGCUAAAUGAUAUUUGAGGAUCGGGUUGCACGCCAGAACAAUGCUAAAUGAUAUUUGACGAUCCGGUUGCACGUCACAACAAUGCUAAAUGAUAUUUGAGGAUAGGGUUGAACACCGCAACAAUUCUAAAUGAUAUGUAUCGGGUUGGACGCCGCAACAAUGCUAAAUGAUAUGGAUCGGGUUGAACACUGCAACAAUGCUAAAUAAUAUGGAUCGGAUUGCGCACCGCAACAAAUGACAUGUGUCGAUUGGGUUGAACGCCGCAACAGUAUUGAUAUGUAUAUUGGGAUCGGGUUGCACGCUGCAAAAAUUGUUGAUUCAAGUGUGUUUAUUUUGGAUAUUUGUUUUCUUUGUUUUCUGUAAAUUCUCUUGGCUGCACGCUGCAAAAAUUGUUGAUUCAAGUGUAUUUAUUUUGGAUAUUUGUUUUCUUUGUUUUCUGUAAAUUCUCUUGGCUGCUUCUAUCAUUAUAUUGAGAUUCUCUUUUUGUAACCAUUGUCUCCCCACCGCAUGUUUCUUCAAACUUUAUUGAUUGUUUACUUCAUGUAUUUCUUUCUGUUGUAUAUAUAUGUAUUUGAACUGUACCGGUUUAUCUGGUGGUCCGGUCCUAGCCUCGUAACUACUUCGCCAAGGUUAGGCUAGACACUUACCAGUACAUAGGGUCGAUUGUGCUGAUACUACACUCUGCGCUCUUUUGCACAGAUCUAGGUUUCGGACAACAGACAAUAGCACAGGUGGUAGCUUUUAGAUUUGUGAGACAUAGAGGUAGCCUUGCAGGCGUCUGCAUGCCCGGUAUCUCCUCUAUCUUUAUUUUCAGUCUGUUAUCUCAUUGUAUUCGAGACAAACAAUUUAUAUUAUCUUUCAUAUGGUUGUUUUUAGUACUCCUAGCAGUUCGUAAGUAAAGUGACACCAGUUCUUGGGCAGAGUUUUAUGUUGAGUUUUCAUAUUUUACCGACUUAAGUCUUCCACUUAUUUAAUUUAUUUCGUUGUAUUUAUAUUAUAAUUGUUAAAUUGCUUAAAGAAUAAUUUUGAUAACGAAAUGGUAGGUAAGAGUUGGCUUGCCUAGCUCUUAUUAGUAGGUACCAUGACGAUUCCCGAGGGUGGGAAUUUCGGGUCGUUACAAUUUGGUAUCAGAGUUAUAGGUUACAUAGGUCUCACAACUCACGGACAAACUUAGUAGAAUCUGAGGGAUCAGUACGAAGACGUUUGUAUUUGUCCCCAGAGGCUACAGAUUUAGGAAAUUAUUCACUUCUAUUCAGUUAUGUCAUGCGAUUUUAUUCUCUCAUUGCUAAAUUAAAACUUCUACUCUUGUCCUUUCACGAAUAGCGAGGUCACGUACCGUUUCAUCAGCCGAACUGGAUCACAGACCAGUGAUGGAUCAGCGACGUCUUAACAAACUUUGUGAAGGUUGGAUAAGUUUUGUCACACAUCCUUUUUACGGAGCCCGCAAAGGGUGAAGGAGUUUUUUCCAAUUAAAGGACAAUCAAACGGGAUAUGUUUAUUUAUUUUAGAGUUUCCACAUGUGAGUUUUAGGGUAUCCCAAGUCAUCAGAUUUAAUCCCAAAUCGAGGAAAGGAAUUGACUCUAAAUUACUGUCUACGUACCAGAUAUCCAGAUAAGGAAUUUUGUUAACCCGGGAAAAGGUGUUAGAAAUUCUCGAGUUCCGUGGUUCUAGCAUGGUCUCUUAACUGUUACAUUCAGCUUAUUUAUCUAAUUUUAACAAUUAUGUACUUAGUGAAAAUUAUGACUCUUUUACCUCUUUUAUUAUUAUUAUUAUUAUUAUUAUUAUCAUUUUUAACAAAGGAAUUGCAACGUUGUGAAAACGUAUCUCGGACAACGUCACAACCAGUGUACACGUGGUCGUCGACACAUUUCGACUACGUUGAGAUCUAAAUUUGAGUUACAUCAAUGUACACCCAAAUUUAAGAAAGUAAUUUUGUUAAAGACGCUAGCGUAUAGCUAUUUCGGGUAAGGCCGUAAAAUUUUCUAAACGGUCCAUCCCAAAGUCUAAGUAACUCUACAACCACGUGUAGAGGGUCCCGUAUCUUGUGCAUUUUCGUUUGACGAGGCUCGUUUCGUUCCUUAUUCUUUUAAAAGACUUUCGAUGUCGUGGAAAUGCAUCUCGAACCACGUCACAACCAGUGUACACACGGUCGUCGACACAUUUCGACUCUAUCGUGAUUUGGAUUUGGGUUGCAUAAAUGCACACCCGAGAUUAGGAAGGUAUGAUUAAUUAAGGCGUGUCCUAAAGAGACUAACAUAUCGUUAUUUUGGGAAGAGGUCGUGAAGAUUUGCUAAGCGGCCAACUGCGAAGUCUAUUCAAUUAUUAUGCGUAUUUAUUGAGGGCCCCGCAAUUUGUAAUUUAAUUUGGCGAGGCACGCCUCAUUUUAUUUUUAAGGAUCGUCCUAUAGUGAAUAUAGGUUUUAUUUCUUCCGUCUCUACAAUGACAAGAAAAUUCCUAGUUUAUUUACAUUCUUAUGAGUUAUUACAAUUAAGUUUCGAAUGUGAUUUGUUAAAUUUGAAAAUGGGCGCGUACAUGGGCGUUCUCUAACAAUUAUGGGCCCAGACCCAACAUAUAAGGUACAAAAUCAGACCUGGGCUGUCCUUAUUCACAUGCUAUUACCUAAUUGUAUUUUGUCUUAGGUGUCCUCGAAAUUUAAUAGGCAGAAGCAAACUAAUGAGAAAAGCAAUAUAAUUAACUAAAACAACAAAAUUGAAAUGACUUAACUUGUUUAGUAGUUAACUGCCUAAGCCGUGGCAUGCUUUUGAAACUCACUAUUUUAAUCAAACAAAGUGAACUGGCAGAAUGUUACUAUUACCAUAUGUGUUCUUUGACUAUCAUACAUAAGGAAUUUAUUAACUAAGCUACAACAAGAUGUUCAGUUCUACAUAAUCAAACGCCUACAUGAUACUAAUAGAUGAAGCUAACUAAUGUACAUACACAACAAAAUUCAAAAUAUAACUAAGAUAAAUUCAAAACUCCAACUUUUCGUUUCAUAUUCAUGCUUCAGUUUUUAUUCUACAGGAACCAAUGUAUCAAUUUGUGUACCUGGUAUUUGGAAGGCAAGGAAAAAGAGGAGAUCAGUGAUAGCAGCAGUAUGCACACACAGCAACAACAGUUCCAGCAACAACUGCAAUAAACAAAUAUCAAACAAUAGCAAGAAUCCCAGGAAAGUUUUGAAAACAAGCAGGAACAACCCAGGAACUUUCAAACCCAACAGAAAAUGCAAGAAAUACCACACUAAAAGACCCAGUAAUACCCGAAAUGCCUUCACAGUCGAAGUAAAAAAUGAGGCAGAAACAAGAAAGCAGUAUUUCUAAUUGUGAGCACUUAAAGAAACAAACUGAAACUCUUGAAGUAAAGCUCAGCCAAACACUCACUUAAGUUUUGGAAUCCUAAUGCGCAAAUUUCAGUCUUAAGAUAUUAAGUUCUGAUAUUAUGCCUUCAAAAAUCUGUUAUAACUCACUCCUCAAAUCUGAAAUUCUCAAAGUCUCCUCCUUUCUUAAACUUAUUUCUCUCUAUUUAUAGGCCAACAUUUUCUAUUCAAAACUUUUCUUUUCAGCGUGUAUAUUCCCUCCCCAUGUGCAUUUAUACCCCUUUAUCAUUCAACCCUUAAUGUUUCUGAUUUCCAAUUAGGAAAGGUAUUUAAAAGAAAUGUCAGCUUUUAAUUCUUUAUUAAGACCCCAUGUUAUUUGUGAUUUCCAACUAGUAAACCACUUAUUUUGUUUUUUAAUCCCAAAAGUAUAUGGCCAGCUUGAAUAUUAAAUUCAGGCGUGCCUGGCAAUACAUGGUCUUCACUCAACCCCCUAACCCUAUGUUUACUAGUCUAAAACUACCUCUAUAUAAGCUUAGAUUUAAAACUGAUUUUAGGUUAAGCUUACAGAUUACUUACAACUAUAUCCAAUUCAUACUAAGAGCAAUCACUUAUUCAACUCAAUCAAAUCACAGAAGUGGUGUUGAUCAGAUGGCCUGAGUUGAUCAUAUUGGGAGCCAAUCCUUACCAACUCAAAGCCAAAUGAGCAAAAAAGGCAACAACUAUUAAAGGCUCAGAUCAAAGCAGAAAUGAACAUGCUUGUUGAUACAAGUCUCAACACAUGACAAGAGAAGCAUGCUAGAAAUUAACUGGAAUGAACAAUUCAUGAUUCUCUAGUUUUUUCAGUGCAUUCAGUUGACAACAUUCAAUUAAUUGACUAUAUGAACUGCAACAGAUAGCUAACAAUCGAUAAUCAAAAUACAUCAAGCAUGUUAGAGGAUUUCAGUGACUUCAGCAAAUAACCUAAUGUGAACUAACUAUUUUGACGAUUUAAUCAAGCUAAACACCUUCUUAAUCACAACAGGUACGACUAAUAAAGAAAUAGAAGAAAUGACAAAAUAAAAGGUAUUAUGGAGAUGGACAGAAUUGAAAGAAAAAUAACUUAAAAAUCAAACAAAAUAACUAAAAAUGCAAACAAACACAAAUAGAACACAAACAAGAGCAGAAGGAGAAGAAUAAAAUACCUUAGAAGCUUAGAAAAGAGACGACCCCUGUUCAAAUUGGACCUGAUCUCUUUGAGUUCGAACGAACUUUAAUCGAACCUUUCUCACCCGAGAACACCUCGAUUAAGGUCUAUUAGACCCCAACAAUUUGAUAAUUAGGAUAGACUCUCAUGGAUUUGUGUUCUAGGGUUCAAACAUUCGAUUUAGGGCUUGAAGGUUUCUGGUUUGAUUCGGACCAAACCAUCGUUUGUAAAGAUAUGAGGGAGGUCAAGGGAUAGGUUAGGGUUUUGCUCGAAUCUUUAAAUGAAGAUUCCAGACGAUGGGCAUUGAUUCAAGGUAAAAGGCUUGUGGAUACGUAAUCAGAGUGUGAAGGUGGUUCUAUGGUGUUAAGAUGGUGGUCGGCGGCGUAGUUGCCGCCGGGUUUCAGGCGAAUGGGAGCUAUGGCGGCUAGGGUUUACAGGUCUCGUCUCUGAGUUGAGAGAGACGAAGUGGGAGGGGUGUGCUUGGUUAUGGGGGACGAGGGGUGAGAGACAGAGGCUUAUAUAGGGGGUAGGGGGAUUUGAUCCUGGUCGUUGGAUCAAGAAUGAUCGACGGCCAAGUUCUUUCACUUGGGUGAAACGAUGUUGUAUAAUUCCAGUGAGACUGGGUUGGUUUCUAGGGUUAAGUGGGUCGGGUAUCUGGGAAAGCCUCAAGUCGUUGGGUUAGAUGGGAUGAACAACUUAGAUCAAUUGUAAUCAUGCGGUAUCGUUUGGAUUAAUGAAAGAACUAAACUGUACAGUUAGAUUUGACUGAUUAACGGUCCAUAUUAAAAGCAUCCAAACGACGUAGUUUGGGGGACGUUUGGGGGACGGUUUAGAGACCUGGUCCUAGACUAGGUUAUUGCACACAUUGAGCCUUAUCUUUUGGUUUAAUAAUGAAGACCAACUCCAACAUUUUCUUAAAUUUUUUGCACUCUUUUCCUUCUUUUAGUUAACCAAACUAACAAAAAUCCGAAUAAAAAUGUAAAAUAAAAAUAAAACUACAAAAUAUUAAUUAACACUUACAACAAGUAACACACACAUUAAAUCAUUCAAUUAAGAUAAAAUCACCUAGUGACAAAAAAAAUAGAAUAAAAAGGCAUAUUUUGUGAUUUUAUUUUUAACAACCAAAUUGUGGUUCAAUUAAAUCCUAAAUGCAUAAUUAAAUCCUAAAUAUGCAUGCAACAUGUAUUUUUUUUCUUUUUUGUAUUUUUUAAUUAACCACAACAAGGUAAACAUUUACGGACGAAACAAUUAAAAAAAUGUCACACAAAUUCUCAAAAAUUGUACCCGAAUGUAACUUGUUUUAUUUUUUGAUUUCUUUUUGAGUAAUAUCUGUGAAGCAAAAAUCACGUGCUCACAAGUUUCACCAAGACUUUCACUACUACAUUCGGCGGUGCAUCUACUAAGAGUUCCCAUGAUUAUCUAGACAAUUGUCAUGACGUUCUCAGGGACAUUGGGAUCGUGGAGACCAAUGAGGUAGAUUUUGCUACAUUUUGCUUGUCUGGAUCUGCCGAGACCUGUUGGAAAUAUUAUUGGUUGGCUAUACUUCUAGGUCAUCAACUUCGACUUUGGAGCAAUUAUCAGAGUUUUUUCUGGAGAAGUUUCUCCCCGUUACUCAAAGAGAAGCCUAUUGGAGGAAGUUCGAGCGUCUCCAGGUUCUAUGAAUGGUACUCAGUACGAAACCUGAUUCAUCGACUUGGAUCGUCAUGCUCAUACCAUGCUUCCCACUGUGAGAGAGAGUGAGGAGGUUCAUUGAAGGACUCGUCCAGCCCGCUCAGUUUGUUGGGGGUAGAGGUAGAUGUAUUAGAGGUGGAGGUAGAAAUGGUAGAGGUUGAGGGGAAGGCAUUAGAGGUGGAGGUGCAGGUACUAUUCUGGUUCGUAGCAGAGAAGCUUCGGUUUAUUGUUUUGCCGCAUCUGGUCAUGCAUAGUAGUUCUUUGAGUGCCCCUGUUAAUGUGUCUAUGCCGGUGGGUGAUUUUACUGUGGUGGAUCGUGUCUAUUGAUCAUGUAUAGUUGUGAUUGGAGGUCUUGAGACUCGUGUAUAUUUGUUUCUCUUGGACAUAGUCGACUUUGAUCUUAUAUUGGGGAUGGAUUGGUUAUCACCUUACCAUGCUAUCUUGGAUUGUCAUGCCAAGGCUGUGACCUUAGCUUUACCAAGUUUGCACCUUUAGAGUGGAGAGGGAUUCCAGGUCAUUCUACCCGCUAUGUUAUCACGUAUGUGAAGGCUCGACAUAUGGUCGAGAAGGGGUUUUUGGCUUAUUUAGAUUAUGUUCGUGAUUCCAGUGCUGAGGUUCCCUCUAUUGAUUCUGUGCCCAUGGUUCACGAGUUUCCUAAGGUUUUCCCUUCAGACCUGACGUGUACGCCACCUCACAGGGAUAUUUAUUUUUGCAUUGAUUUGUCUCCGGGCACAUAGCCCAUCUCUAUUCCUCCAUAUCGCAUGGACCCACAAGAGUUGAAAGAGUUGAAGGAGCAGUUGCAAGACUUGCUUUAGAAGUUUCAUUAAGCACAGUGUGUCACCAUGGGGUGCGCCGGUGUUGUUCAUAAAGAAGAAGGAUGGUUCGAUGAGAAUGUGCAUUGAUUACCGGCAAUUGAACAAGGUUACAAUCAAGAAUAAGUAUCCACUGUCGAGGAUUGAUGAUUUAUUUGAUAAAUUUUAAGGUGCCAAGGUAUUUUCAAAGAUAGACUUGAGAAUUGGCUGACAUCAAUUGAAGUUUAGGGCAUCCGAUGUCCCUAUGAUAGCUUUCCAAACUUGGUACGGACAUUAUAAAUUCUUGGUCAUGUCUUUUGGCUUAACAAAUGCCCCAACAGCUUUUAUGUAUCUGAUGAACCAUGUUUAGGGCUUAUUUAGACUUGUUCGUGAUAGUCUUCAUUGAUGACAUAUUGAAAUACUCCCUUAUCCAGGAGGAGCAUGAGCAGCAUCUCAGAGUGGCUCUUCAGACUCUGAAAGAUAGUCAGUUCUACGCAAAAUUUAAAAGUGUGAGUUUUGGUUGAGUUCAAAUACUUUCCUGGGUCAUUUUGUUAUGGCGGAGGGUAUUCAGGUUGAUCCAAAAAAGAAUGAGACAGUCAAGAACUGGCCUAGACCAACAUCAGCUACAGAGAUCCGGAGUUUCUUAGGAUUGGCAGGUUACUACGGUUUGUGGAGGGAUUUUCAUCUAUUACAACCUCGAUGACAAGAAUGACCCAGAAUGGUGCCCAUUUCAAAUGGCCGUACGAAUAUAAUGCGAGCUUUCAGAGGCUUAACACAUCUUUGAGUACGACACGGAUAUUAGUUUUGCCCGCAGGUUUAUGACCUUAUAUAGUCUAUUAUGAUGCUUCCCGUAUUGGAUUUGGCGCAAUGUUAAUGUAGGAUGUCAAGAUCAUUGCCUAUGCUUCGAGGCAGUUGAAGAUUCAUGGGAAAAACUAUCAUGUGCAUAAUUUGGAGGUAACAGCCAUUGUUCACGCAUUGAAAAUUUGGAGGCAUUAUUUGUAUGGCAUGGCAUGUGAAGUGUUCACUGAUGACAAGAGUCUUCAGUACUUGUUUAUGCAAAAGGAAUUGAAUUUGAAGCAGAGGAGUUGGUUGGAACUAUUGAAGGAUUAUGACAUCACUAUUUUAUAUCACCCAAGAAAAGCCAAUGUGGUGGCAGAUGCUUUGAGUAGGAAGUCAACCAGUAUGGGCAGUCUUGCUUAUAUUCCAGUCAGUCAGAGGCCACUUGUUUUGGAUGUUCAUGCUUUAGCCAACCGAUUUGUGAAGUUGGAUAUUUCUAAGCCUAGUUGGGUAUUAAUUUGCACUAUCUCUCGUUCUUCACUAUUGGAGUAUAUCCGUGAUCGGUAGUUUGUGUUUCCCGUUUAUGUGUCCUUAAAGACAUGGUGCAACGAGGACGUGCCAAACAGGUUAAAUUAGAUACUGAUGGAGUUUUAAGAUUUCGAGGGCGAGUUUGUGUGCCAAAUGUUGAUGGGCUUCGAGAAUUGAUUUUAGAGAAGGCCCACAGUUCCCCGGUAGUCUAUUCAUCCAGGCACCGCAAAGAUGUAUCAGGAUUUGCGGCAACAUUAUUGGUGAGCGUAGAAUUAAGAAGGAUAUUGUGGGAUAUGUGGCACGGUGUUUGAAUUUUAGUAGGUUAAGUAUGAGCAAAAGAGGCCUGGUGGAUUAUUUUAGGGGAUUGAGCUUCCCCAGUGGAAGUGGGAGUGUAUCACUUUACUGGACUCUCGUUGACUAGGAAGACGUUUGAUACGGUUUGGGUCAUUGUUGAUAGGUUGACCAAGUCGUCGUAUUUCAUUCCUGUGGCAUUCUCUUAUUCAUCCGAGAGGUUAGCUGAGAUUUAUAUCCAGGAGAUUGUUCGCCUUCAUGAGGUGCCGAUAUCUAUCAUCUCGGAUCAAAGUACGUAGUUUACCUCGCAUUUUUGGAAAGUAGUUCAGCGAGAGUUAGGCACCCAGGUGCAGUUGAGUACAACAUUUUAUCAUCAGACGGACGGGCAAUCCGAGCGGACCAUUCAGAUAUUGAAGGAUAUGCUCCAAGCUUGUGUUAUUGACUUUGGAGAUUCGUGGGAUCAAUUCUUGCCCUUAGCAAUGUUUGCCUACAACAACGGCUACCACAUAAGUACCAAGAUGGCUUCUUAUGAGGCUUUAUAUGGUAGGAGGUGUCGAUCUCCGGUUGGAUGGAUGGAGCCGGGAGAGACUCGGCUGUUGGGUAUAGAAUUGGUGCAGGAGGCCUUAGAAAAUGUUAGAAUCAUUCAGGAUAGGCUUCAUACAGCUCAGUCCAGGAAAAAGAGCUAUGUAGAUCGUAAGGUUCGAGAUGUAGAUUUCAUGGUUGGUGAGCGAGUAUUGCUCCGAGUGUCGCCUAUGAAGGGCAUGAUGAAGGGAAAUCUUAGCCCUAGGUUCAUUAAUCCGUAUAAGAUUCUUGAGUUAGUUGGAGAUGUGGCUUAUAGACUUGCAUUGCCUCAAAACUUAUCAGCAGUGCAUCCAGUUUCUUAUGUGUCCACGCUUCGAAAAUAUCACGGCGAUCCAGCCCACGUGCUAGACUUUCAACACUAUCCAGUUGGAUAAGGACUUGUCUUACGAGGAGGAGCCGUUGGCUAUUUUAGACCGGUAGGUUUGUCAAUUGAGAUCCAAUAGUUUUCCUUCUAUUCGUAGUCAGUAGAGAGAUCAGCCUCUUGAGGCUUCGACCUGGGAGCCUGAUUCCGAUAUGCGGAGCCGUUAUCCUCAUUUAUUCCGCGACUCACGUACUUCUUUCUUCUGUCCGUUCGGGGACAUACAGUUGUUUUAGAGGUGAAGAAUGUGACGACCCAAAGGGGUCAUCACUUAUUAUCUUAUCCAUUCCGAGCUUUCGAGGUCUUGAAAACCAUAUUUAUAGUCGCCUCGAUUUGCAUGCACAUUUGAGGCGCGUAGCCGGAAGCUCAAAUAUGAAAUUAUGUGAAAGUUUUGUAAUUUUUAAUAUUAAAAUGAAUAAAUUAGACUUCGGUCAACAUUUUAAGUAAACUGACCCGGACCUGUAAUUUGACAGACCUGGAAGGUCCGUGGAAAAAUAUGGGACUUGGGCGUAUGCCCGGAACCGAAUUUCGAGGUCCCAGGCUGGAGAAAUGAUUUUUUGAGUAAAAUUGUUUUCCAAAAAUAUUUAAGGAAAAUAAAAAUGAAAUUUGAUUAAAAGUGAUGGUAUCGGGCCUGUAUUAUUAUUUCCGCCGCCCGGUACAGGUCUUAUAUGUGGUUUAAGCGCUUUCAGUAAAAUAUGGUUGAAAAUAGACGUCAUUUGACGUGUUUCGGAUUUAAAGUCCUAAAAAAGUUUAUGAAAUUUGGAAGAAAUCAUGGAUUUUAAGACUUAAUUCAUUAUUUUUGAUGUUAUUUUUGCGAGUUGAUCACACAGUUAUGUUCGUAGGAUGUUUUUGAGUUAGUAUACAUGUUUGGUUUGGAGCCUCGAGGGCUCGGGUGAGUUUUAGAUAGGUGUCGGAGUGCUUUUGACUUAAGAAAUGCAGCAGAAAUAACUCUUGGCUGUUUUCCAGAUCCUUCUAUACGAUCGCUUUCUACCCUCCACGAUAGCAUUGAAUAAUGUCUCAACAAUAUUUUUCCUUCUACGCGAUCGCGUGUAUCCUUGCACGAUCGGAAUGCCAAAAAAUCUCACACUACGCUAUCGCAUACUUGCUCCCGCGAUAGCAGUGCACCUCGUACCUUAACCUAUGCGAUCGCAAUCCCUUCUUCGCGAUCGCAUAGAGUAAAUUCUGUCCAGUUCUUUAAAGUCCCAAAAAAACAGAACGUUUACGGGAUCUUCACAAUAUUUCACAAACCCUAUCUUAUUCAAAGCUCUUGGACGAUCCUUGGAGCAUUUCUUCACCAAAGUUUCUUUAGUAAGUGUUUUUAAUUCGUUUUCUUUAUUUUCCAUCAAUAUCUUUGAUUUCCUGGGCCUAAAACAUAUGAAAAUAGGUAGAAAUUAGAGAAAUGGGUAGGUUAGAGCUUUUUGAAUUUCCUUGAAUUAGACCUCGUUUUGGGGUCAAAUUUGCAAGCAAAUUAUAUAUUCAGACUCGUUGGGUGAUAGGAAUUUAGUUCGAACCUCCUGUUUUGAACAAGUGGGCCCAAAGUCGAUUUGUGAAAGAAUGUUUAGAAAAUUAUAUUUAGGCAUUUGAAUUGGAUUGUUGAGCAUUUAUUGAUGAUAUUAAAUCAAUUGUGUAUGGAUACGAUUGAAUUGGAGCCAAAUUUGAAAGGAAAAGUGGUGCUUAAGGAUUGAGUUGGCCGUAGAACUAUGAGGUAUGUGUUUGGUAUAACCUUAGCUUGAGGGAACAACCUGUCACCUUACAUUUGAACAUUGUGAAUUAAAAUAAACUUCCUAAAGGCUUGCCUACCCAAAUGUGGCCGGCCUAAAUAUGCUACUAGCGAUUAAAUAUAAUAUAAACCGUAAAAUAUUUCUAGUGCUCAGACUUCCUUAUAAUUUUUGGACUCCCAAUCUCCACGGUCUAACAUCGUCUUAGUAUCCAUGCCACUAAUAAAUCUAAUUAAUUUUGUUAACUUAGUUCUACUGUCAUCAAAGUGUUAAUUCUAAAGCUUAUAGUUCAAUUAAGGGAAGUAGUAGAGAAUCAAAAUUUAUUUUAGCCAUUAAACCCAUCCAAGCAGGGAUUAAACCAAUGGUUAAUAACAAAUUCAGUCAACAAACAGUAGAACAUCAUUAAAAUAGAGCAAUGAACAUCCAAACAAAUGGGGAAGUGAUAGAUUAACGAAGUGAUUAAGUACAAACAAUAUGUAAGGGAGGAAGAAAUAAACCUUACUGGCGAAAGUUUCUUCCAGAUUAGAGAAAGUCUAAAUCUACAGUAUUGUCUGGAUGAAGAGCAACAAAAAUUCAACAACCAAAUUGAGUAUUCACGGGAAAAUCAACAUGAGCGCUAAUCGGACCUCGAACACCGACCUAAACCAGCUCCAUCUCAGUAGCGAAACUCAAACCUGACAUCAGAAAUGAGCUGAAAGCCGCCUGAGAUUUGACUAUUUAUAGCAGAAAAUCUUGGGCUUGAGUUUUGAGCAAGAUUUAACAAUUCAAAUUAAUUGUAAAUAGCCCAAAUCUGAACGUUGGGGAUUCAAUUUCAAGUGACUUGGCUAUAUUCUGAAAGGGGUUGUCCUGGGUGACUGGUCCGUUGGUAACAGCUGUGCGAUUUUUUCUGGUGAGUACGUUGGAAAGGGACUAGGGUGCGGUAGCUCAGGUGUAUGGCUGGUCCAACGGGUUAAGGUUGAGGAACAGGUAGUCGUAGUUCGCUGGGGUUAUGAUUUAGGUGGUAUUUCCGGCGAUUUUUGGUUUUUAGCGGUGGUGGUUAUUGAGCUGAAGCUUUUUGACUGCAAAAAUGGCUGAUAGUUUUGUAUUGCAGGGCUGAAGAAGAUGACGAGGAAUGGGGGGAGGAGUCGCUAGGCUGAUGGAAGCUAGCUCGAUAUGGUAGGGCGGAGAUAGGGUCGUUUGGGGUGAAGUGAAAGGAGAGAGCAGGGGUCGUUUGGGGUGAACGGCGCUGGAUUGUUUAAUUCACGCUCGGUCUCGUUAGGGGUGUGGGGAAUACUGCGCUUUAUUUUUAAAGAAGAAGAA